This 90-nucleotide transfer RNA is filed under the name Ruegeria marina. RNAcentral describes it as "tRNA_Ser_TGA". It matches the Rfam family "tRNA". Rfam says of the family: Transfer RNA (tRNA) molecules are approximately 80 nucleotides in length. Their secondary structure includes four short double-helical elements and three loops (D, anti-codon, and T loops). Further hydrogen bonds mediate the characteristic L-shaped molecular structure. tRNAs have two regions of fundamental functional importance: the anti-codon, which is responsible for specific mRNA codon recognition, and the 3' end, to which the tRNAs corresponding amino acid is attached (by aminoacyl-tRNA synthetases). tRNAs cope with the degeneracy of the genetic code in two manners: having more than one tRNA (with a specific anti-codon) for a particular amino acid; and 'wobble' base-pairing, i.e. permitting non-standard base-pairing at the 3rd anti-codon position. Lineage: Bacteria; Pseudomonadati; Pseudomonadota; Alphaproteobacteria; Rhodobacterales; Roseobacteraceae. RNAcentral also lists the same sequence under 4 other names. The record is from RNAcentral.
GGGGAGGUGGCAGAGCGGUCGAAUGCGGCGGUCUUGAAAACCGUUGAUGGUGAGAGCCAUCCCAGGGUUCGAAUCCCUGUCUCCCCGCCA